AAUGGGCGCAAGCCUGAUCCAGCAAUGCCGCGUGUGUGAAGAAGGCCUGCGGGUUGUAAAGCACUUUCAGUGGGGAAGAACGGGCCAAGGUUAAUACCCCUGGCUUCUGACGUUACCCACAGAAGAAGCACCGGCUAACUCCGUGCCAGCAGCCGCGGUAAUACGUAGGGUGCGAGCGUUAAUCGGAAUUACUGGGCGUAAAGCGUGCGUAGGCGGUUACGUCAGUCAGCCGUGAAAGCCCCGGGCUCAACCUGGGAAUGGCGGUUGAGACGGCGCGACUAGAGUGGGCUAGAGGAUCGUGGAAUUCCGGGUGUAGCGGUGAAAUGCGUAGAGAUCCGGAGGAACACCGAUGGCGAAGGCAGCGGUCUGGGGCCACACUGACGCUGAGGCACGAAAGCGUGGGGAGCAAA
This 410-nucleotide ribosomal RNA is filed under the name uncultured bacterium. RNAcentral's name for it is "bacterial SSU rRNA". It matches the Rfam family "Bacterial small subunit ribosomal RNA", at positions 370 to 772 of the family's 1533-position model. The record is from RNAcentral.